This 425-nucleotide ribosomal RNA is filed under the name uncultured bacterium. Its description in RNAcentral is "partial 16S ribosomal RNA". It matches the Rfam family "Bacterial small subunit ribosomal RNA", at positions 354 to 796 of the family's 1533-position model. The record is from RNAcentral.
GUGGGGAAUAUUGCACAAUGGGCGAAAGCCUGAUGCAGCGACGCCGCGUGAGCGAUGAAGUAUUUCGGUACGUAAAGCUCUAUCAGCAGGGAAGAUAAUGACGGUACCUGACUAAGAAGCACCGGCUAAAUACGUGCCAGCAGCCGCGGUAAUACGUAUGGUGCAAGCGUUAUCCGGAUUUACUGGGUGUAAAGGGAGCGUAGGCGGCGUGGUAAGUCAGAAGUGAAAGCCCGGGGCUCAACCCCGGGACUGCUUUUGAAACUAUCAUGCUAGAGUGUCGGAGAGGUAAGUGGAAUUCCUAGUGUAGCGGUGAAAUGCGUAGAUAUUAGGAGGAACACCAGUGGCGAAGGCGGCUUACUGGACGAUAACUGACGCUGAGGCUCGAAAGCGUGGGGAGCAAACAGGAUUAGAUACCCGUGUAGUCC